RNAcentral lists this ribosomal RNA (520 nucleotides) under uncultured bacterium. RNAcentral's name for it is "bacterial SSU rRNA". It matches the Rfam family "Bacterial small subunit ribosomal RNA", at positions 120 to 674 of the family's 1533-position model. The record is from RNAcentral.
GGGAACAUACCCUUUUCUACGGAAUAGCUCUGGGAAACUGGAAUUAAUACCGUAUACGCCCUACGGGGGAAAGAUUUAUCGGGGAAGGAUUGGCCCGCGUUGGAUUAGCUAGUUGGUGGGGUAAAGGCCUACCAAGGCGACGAUCCAUAGCUGGUCUGAGAGGAUGAUCAGCCACAUUGGGACUGAGACACGGCCCAAACUCCUACGGGAGGCAGCAGUGGGGAAUAUUGGACAAUGGGCGCAAGCCUGAUCCAGCCAUGCCGCGUGAGUGAUGAAGGCCUUAGGGUUGUAAAGCUCUUUCACCGAUGAUGAUAAUGACGGUAGUCGGAGAAGAAGCCCCGGCUAACUUCGUGCCAGCAGCCGCGGUAAUACGAAGGGGGCUAGCGUUGUUCGGAAUUACUGGGCGUAAAGCGCACGUAGGCGGAUAUUUAAGUCAGGGGUGAAAUCCCAGAGCUCAACUCUGGAACUGCCUUUGAUACUGGGUAUCUUGAGUAUGGAAGAGGUAAGUGGAAUUGCGAGU